This 498-nucleotide ribosomal RNA is filed under the name uncultured bacterium. RNAcentral describes it as "partial 16S ribosomal RNA". It matches the Rfam family "Bacterial small subunit ribosomal RNA", at positions 28 to 523 of the family's 1533-position model. The record is from RNAcentral.
GAUGAACGCUAGCGGCAGGCCUAAUACAUGCAAGUCGAACGAUACCAAGGGGCUUGCUCCUUGGAAAAGUGGCGCACGGGUGCGUAACGCGUAUGCAACCUACCUUUAUCAGGGGGAUAGCCCGGAGAAAUCCGGAUUAAUACCGCAUAAAAUCACAGGAUGGCAUUAUCCAAUGAUCAAACAUUUAUGGGAUAAAGAUGGGCAUGCGUGUCAUUAGCUAGUUGGCGGGGUAACGGCCCACCAAGGCGACGAUGACUAGGGGAUCUGAGAGGAUGGCCCCCCACACUGGUACUGGGACAAGGGCCAUACUCCAACAGGAGGCAGCAGUAAGGAAUAUUGGUCAAUGGGCGGAAGCCUGAACAAGCCAGGCAGCAUGCAGGAAGACUGCCCUAUGGGUUGUAAACUGCUUUUAUCCGGGAAUAAACCUACUUACGUGUAAGUAGCUGAAUGUACCGGAAGAAUAAGGAUCGGCUAACUCCGUGCCAGCAGCCGCCGUAA